RNAcentral lists this ribosomal RNA (936 nucleotides) under Kristenseniscus walteri. RNAcentral describes it as "SSU rRNA". It matches the Rfam family "Eukaryotic small subunit ribosomal RNA", at positions 121 to 969 of the family's 1831-position model. The record is from RNAcentral. Lineage: Eukaryota; Metazoa; Tardigrada; Heterotardigrada; Echiniscoidea; Echiniscidae.
CUGACAGUUAAUUUACAUGGAUAACUGUGGUAAUUCUAGAGCUAAUACAUGCAGCAAGCCUUGACCCUUACGGGCAAGGCGCAGUUAUUAGAUCAAAAACCAAUCGGUUGUAUCUUCGGGUAUGACCGUUACUUUGGUGACUCUGAGUAACCACAGCGAACCGUAUGGCCUCGUGCUCGACGGUCUGUCAGUCAAGCAACUGCCUUAUCAGCUUGUUGUUAGAUUAUAUGCCUAACAAGGCUUCAACGGGUAACGAACGAUCGGGGUCGGAUAUCGGAGAGGGAGCUUGAGAAACGGCUACCACUUCCAAGGAAGGCAGCAGGCGCGCAAAUUACCCACUCUCGGCAUGAGGAGGUAGCGAUAAAAUGUAUCGAUGCGGGGCCAUUAGUGCCUUCGUAAUCGGAAUGAGUACACUUUAAAUCCUAUAACGAGGACCUAUUGGAGGGCAAGUCUGGUGCCAGCAGCCGCGGUAAUUCCAGCUCCAAUAGCGUAUAUUAAUGCUGCUGCGGUUAAAAAGCUCGUAGUCGGAUCUGGGUUACCGGCGGGUACCGCAGGUUGCUUCGGCAGCUUGUUGUGUACUGUACGUGUCGCUUCGGCGGCACUGCCAGUGUAGCGCUGUCUCAUGUAGGCAAGCUAUGCUGGUCGCCGGAACCACGGGCCGGGCUGAGCAGCAUGCUCUUAAUUGAGUGUGCUGCUUACUCGGUGCGUUUACUUUGAAAAAAUUGGAGUGCUCAAAGCAAGCGUACAGUCGCUAUGCGGCUUGAACAGUGGUGCAUGGAAUAAUGGAAUAGGGCCUCGGUUCUAUUUUGUUGGUUUUAAGAUAUCGAGGUAAUGAUUAAGAGGGACCGACGGGGACGUUUGUAUUGCGACGUUAGAGGUGAAAUUCUUGGAUCGUCGCAAGACACACUAAUGCGAAAGCAUUCGUCUAGAAGGUUU